CAUUCUCACUCCAAAGGCGUCAAAAACCGAAGCAUGGUCAAGCGCCCCUAGCGUCACUUUUAUGACGCCAAAUGUGCCUCUCGGCGUCGAAUAUCGAAGCACUACGACCUUCAUUGCUUUCAGUGGGAAACUUUUGGCGUCAGAAUUCGACACGACGAGGACAUGAGAUGUUUAUCGCUAUGAAAUCACGUUCAAGAAGUCUCAUUCAGCACACAUCGCGAUACUUGCUAUCAGUUCCACAGUUUGGCUGAAAAGACGUAAAGGAAGCCCAGUGGUGUUUCUGGAGAGCUAUUCCUUCAGAAAUGGAGAAGACAGAAAGCUGCGGAGGCAGAUAUAUGCAGCAGUAAGUCUGUGAUAGUUUGUCCCUUUUAUCAAACAUUCCUGCUGUUAUAAUUUGUACAGCAUUUGUUGUUUCUUAAACUGUUGCACUGUCCAAAUACCCACACUUGCCAUCUUUGCACUUGACCACUUGAUUUCUUAUUUGACGUCUUUCCUGUAUUUGGCCUAGUGUUCAAGUGAGCAUGAUGACCACAAGUGUGUGUCGAACUUUUCAUGACCUGAUGACUGUGUUUCCCAAUCCUGGUCCUGGAGAACCCCAGCACUGCAUGGUUUUGGUGUCUCUCUUAUCUGACAAACACACUUUUGAGGUCUUGGAGUCUUCACUGAUGAGCUGAUGAGUUGAAUCAGGUGUGUUUGAUCAGGGAGACAUCUCAAAUGUGCAGUGUUGGGCUUCUCCAGGACCAGGAUUGGGAGCCACUGCCUUAUGGGACACAGGUUUAGUGUGUGUUAAGGACGCUGUGCUUUGGCAUUAUUAAGACCGGGCAAAGUCUCGUUCACACACUGUCACGUACACACACUCUCAAGUGGCCAAGACUGCAAGUGUGGGUAUCUGGACAGGGUCAAAGUCUUAAAAAUGAUCCCUAAACACAGUCGCACAUCGCAGUCUUAAUAAUCCAGUUUAACACUUGUAUGAUAUUGUACAAGCCCCAGGACGGUCUCAUCUGACACUAUCAGAAUAAUUCAUAUGACUAUAGCUUGCUAUUAAUUACUUGCUUUCUUGCUUUACUUGCUUAAUUAUACAGCAUCUUUACAGAGGUGUAAUGUACAAGUUGCACGUAAUUAAUAAUAUUUCCUUCCUUCUGUCUUACAGGAUUUUUUUGAGAUAAUGCUGUUCUUCUUUUUCAGGUCUGAAAUAUCAAGCUCAACAGCUCACUCAAGAGCCAACCCUCACAAACCUUCCUAAAAACUAAAAGAGCUAUUACUGAGUCUCAGCGAAUCUUGCCAUGAUCAGCUCUUCCCAGAAGAGAAGGAAGACCAAGGAAAUGAUUUGCUCAGGAUGAGAAAUGAAGAUGGCCAUCUUGUGCUCAAACAAACAGAAGUCCUCUGGUAUGUGUGUGUUGAAGCAAUGCUGUGUUAUACAACAUUUU
Long non-coding RNA from Carassius gibelio (silver crucian carp), 1427 nucleotides. RefSeq lists it as uncharacterized. NCBI's taxonomy places the organism in Eukaryota, Metazoa, Chordata, Actinopteri, Cypriniformes, Cyprinidae. The record is from RefSeq and is a predicted model, not a curated record. The transcript has 3 exons.